GAUGAACGCUGGCGGCGUGCCUAAUACAUGCAAGUCGAGCGAACGGACGAGCAUUUUGCUUUUCUGAUGUUAUCGGCGGACGGGUGAGUAACACGUGGAUAACCUAUCUAUAAGACUGGGAUAACUUCGGGAAACCGGAGCUAAUACCGGAUAAUCUUUUGAACCGCAUGGUUCAGAAGUUAAAGACGGUCUUUCUGUCACUGAUAGAUGGAUCCGCGCUGCAUUAGCUAGUUGGUAAGGUAACGGCUUACCAAGGCAACGAUGCAUAGCCGACCUGAGAGGGUGAUCGGCCACACUGGAACUGAGACACGGUCCAGACUCAUACGGGAGGCAGCAGUAGGGAAUCUGACGAAAUGGGCGAAAGCGUGACGGAGCAACGGCGAGUGAGUGAUGAAGGUCUUCGGAUCGUAAAACUCUGUUAUUAGGGAAGAACAUAUGUGUAAGUAACUGUGCACAUCUUGACGGUACCUAAUCAGAAAGCCACGGCUAACUACGUG
RNAcentral lists this ribosomal RNA (497 nucleotides) under uncultured bacterium. Its description in RNAcentral is "partial 16S ribosomal RNA". It matches the Rfam family "Bacterial small subunit ribosomal RNA", at positions 28 to 507 of the family's 1533-position model. The record is from RNAcentral.